AUUGAACGCUGGCGGAAUGCUUUACACAUGCAAGUCGAACGGUAGAGGGGGCAACCCCUCGAGAGUGGCGAACGGGUGAGUAAUAUAUCGGAACGUGCCCAGUCGUGGGGGAUAACGUAGCGAAAGUUACGCUAAUACCGCAUACGAUCUAAGGAUGAAAGCGGGGGAUCGCACGACCUCGCGCGAUUGGAGCGGCCGAUAUCAGAUUAGGUAGUUGGUGGGGUAAAGGCUCACCAAGCCAACGAUCUGUAGCUGGUCUGAGAGGACGACCAGCCACACGGGAACUGAGACACGGUCCAGACUCCUACGGGAGGCAGCAGUGGGGAAUUUUGGACAAUGGACGCAAGUCUGAUCCAGCCAUUCCGCGUGCAGGAUGAAGGCCCUCGGGUUGUAAACUGCUUUUGUACGGAACGAAAAGGUCUCUCUUAAUACGGGGGGCUCAUGACGGUACCGUAAGAAUAAGCACCGGCUAACUACGUGCCAGCCGCCGCAGUAA
Molecule: ribosomal RNA, 496 nt
Filed under: uncultured bacterium
Lineage: Bacteria
Description: partial 16S ribosomal RNA
Rfam family: Bacterial small subunit ribosomal RNA
Source: RNAcentral